GGAGGAAAGCAGGGGAUCGCAAGACCUUGCGCUUUUGGAGCGGCCGAUGCCUGAUUAGCUUGUUGGUAAGGUAAAAGCUUACGAAGGCUUCGAUCAGUAGCUGGUCUGAGAGGACGGCCAGCCACACUGGGACUGAGACACGGCCCAGACUCCUACGGGAGGCAGCAGUGGGGAAUUUUGGACAAUGGGGGCAACCCUGAUCCAGCCAUGCCGCGUGAGUGAAGAAGGCCUUCGGGUUGUAAAGCUCUUUCAGCCGGAACGAAACGGUUACGGUUAAUACCCGUGACUAAUGACGGUACCGGAAGAAGAAGCACCGGCUAACUACGUGCCAGCAGCCGCGGUAAUACGUAGGGUGCGAGCGUUAAUCGGAAUUACUGGGCGUAAAGCGUGCGCAGGUGGUUUUGUAAGUCAGAUGUGAAAUCCCCGGGCUCAACCUGGGAACUGCGUUUGAAACUACAAAGCUAG
RNAcentral lists this ribosomal RNA (465 nucleotides) under uncultured bacterium. RNAcentral's name for it is "bacterial SSU rRNA". It matches the Rfam family "Bacterial small subunit ribosomal RNA", at positions 198 to 644 of the family's 1533-position model. The record is from RNAcentral.